CAAUAAUUUCUCGAUCAUUUUUUCAAGUAGUUGUGGAGGAAGGCCAGCUGCCUGCCGGAGCAAUGUUACAAUGUGCAGCUGAUGCGUUGGAAGAUGCCACGUCUAUCGAUGCGUUUGAGAAAAUUAAGAGUUGCAGGGACAGAAGAACCUAGAGAGAUAGGUACUCGUCGCUGCAUCUGAAGAGCUGCCCAGAAAUAACAUUAAGUUUAUCCACAGGCGCAACUAUUCCAGCCAAAUGCAAUAUGCUGGCGUUGUUAAUAUCUUUAUAAGCAGUAAUCUGUCCUUGUGUGCUUCAAUAUCACGAAUAAGGUUAAAGACUUUUUCUUUGCGCAGUAAUCUGUCCUUGUGUGCUUCAAUUAUGAACUUGUGUGUGCAUCAGCUUUUUGUCAUAAUCUGCCCUGAUUCCUGGGACUGUAUAAGAAAAUAACUCAGAAAAUGAACUUGUUAAUGUGAACUCAAUGAGUUUAUCAUAUACAUAGGCAUGGCAAUCA
This is a long non-coding RNA of Populus nigra (black poplar), 491 nucleotides long. RefSeq lists it as uncharacterized. The transcript is spliced from 2 exons. The record is from RefSeq and is a predicted model, not a curated record. NCBI's taxonomy places the organism in Eukaryota, Viridiplantae, Streptophyta, Magnoliopsida, Malpighiales, Salicaceae.